AUAUGGGCAAGUCUUCAACACAAAAGAUAAAACUGCACUUUCAUCUAUGUGUUCAUGGUUUCAGGAGUUAUUUAAUAAUGAGAAGAUGCAAAAUCCUAUUUAACCACUUUACUAAAUUGUUAUUGGAUAAACUCUUUUAUCCACCAUAAUUGGUAUCUUUGAGGAGUUGUGGUUGCCUUCAUGUUCUCAGAUGUUUCUUGGCAGUUCCUUGAUUGCAAAGAGUUAUCUGUUUGUGCGCAUUUUCUUUGUCACUAUUAUUUGCAGGGUUGUAUGCUUCUGAUGGCAUGAGCA
Molecule: unclassified non-coding RNA, 291 nt
Filed under: Hevea brasiliensis (rubber tree)
Lineage: Eukaryota; Viridiplantae; Streptophyta; Magnoliopsida; Malpighiales; Euphorbiaceae
Source: RNAcentral